Molecule: long non-coding RNA, 307 nt
Filed under: Elaeis guineensis (African oil palm)
Lineage: Eukaryota; Viridiplantae; Streptophyta; Magnoliopsida; Arecales; Arecaceae
Description: long non-coding RNA (EGUI_LNC022757)
Source: RNAcentral
CUCAUUCACCUGCAUAAAUCUCAAAGUGAUCUACAAGUGAUCCAAUGGUAGGUUCGCAUGAAUAAAAGCGAAUCUUUUUUUUCCAUGUGAAAGGUACAACCCCUCUCUUAGAGUCAGAGAAAUGCAUGUUUCUGGAUAUCAUAUAUUCUACUUUGCGGCACAAGUUGGGAGACUAAAUUGCAUGACGCUACUCAAAUGCAACCAUCAUACAUUUUAACGCACCCAUAAAUUUUGGGAAAAUCCAUGGCCAAGGAAACCGUAAUUCUUGAUGGCCGUUCACAAAGACAUGCAGAAGAGCCAGAAAACC